CUUUUACAAGGACUGUAUCAGUUUUUGGCCAUCAGACACUGACAUGUAGUGUAACUACUUGGUAAGUCAGAACUGUAUCGAGGCGUUCUGCCUCACUGCUGAAAGGAGCCUACGGUUCCCCAUGGCGUGAACAGAUAUUAAGGGCCAGAUUCAUGCUAGGGCUUGGUGCAGGGAGUGAAGGGAUGCAGCUUGCAUGGCACCCCCACUGUACCUCUGCUGCUGCAAUUUGACCCCCCUGUGCAGAUGGGAGAAUUGGAUGGUAGAAGAGAAGAGAGAAGGAACCCAAAUGGAAGAUUUUGAAGUUCUCCAUCUGUGA
This 316-nucleotide long non-coding RNA is filed under the name Gopherus agassizii (Agassiz's desert tortoise). Its description in RNAcentral is "lncRNA (ENSGAGG00000000939.1)". The record is from RNAcentral. Lineage: Eukaryota; Metazoa; Chordata; Testudines; Testudinidae.